Molecule: ribosomal RNA, 497 nt
Filed under: uncultured bacterium
Lineage: Bacteria
Description: partial 16S ribosomal RNA
Rfam family: Bacterial small subunit ribosomal RNA
Source: RNAcentral
GAUGAACGCUGGCGGCGUGCCUAAUACAUGCAAGUCGAGCGAACGGACGAGAAGCUUGCUUUUCUGACGUUAGCGGCGGACGGGUGAGUAACACGUGGAUAACCUACCUAUAAGACUGGGAUAACUUCGGGAAACCGGAGCUAAUACCGGAUAAUCUUUUGAACCGCAUGGUUCAAAAGUGAAAGACGGUCUUGCUGUCACUUAUAGAUGGAUCCGCGCUGCAUUAGCUAGUUGGUAAGGUAACGGCUUACCAAGGCAACGAUGCAUAGCCGACCUGAGAGAGUGAUCGGCCACACUGGAACUGAGACACGGUCCAGACUCCUACGGGAGGCAGCAGUAGGGAAUCUUCCGCAAUGGGCGAAAGCCUGACGGAGCAACGCCGCGUGAGUGAUGAAGGUCUUCGGAUCGUAAAACUCUGUUAUUAGGGAAGAACAUAUGUGUAAGUAACUGUGCACAUCUUGACGGUACCUAAUCAGAAAGCCACGGCUAACUACGUG